This 30-nucleotide non-coding RNA is filed under the name Mus musculus (house mouse). The record is from RNAcentral. Lineage: Eukaryota; Metazoa; Chordata; Mammalia; Rodentia; Muridae.
UGCAUGAACUGGUUUCCUGGGGUUGCUGUC